GAUGAACGCUAGCGGCAGGCCUAAUACAUGCAAGUCGGACGGGAUUCGGGACUUCGGUUCCGAUGAGAGUGGCGCACGGGUGCGUAACACGUAUGUAACCUACCCUUGUCAGGGGGAUAGCCUCUCGAAAGAGAGAUUAAGCCCGCAUAACAUUAUGAUAUAGCAUUAUAUUAUAAUCAAAUAUUUAUAGGACGAGGAUGGGCAUGCGGAACAUUAGCAGUUGGUAAGGUAACGGCUUACCAAGGCGA
This 248-nucleotide ribosomal RNA is filed under the name uncultured bacterium. RNAcentral's name for it is "partial 16S ribosomal RNA". It matches the Rfam family "Bacterial small subunit ribosomal RNA", at positions 28 to 276 of the family's 1533-position model. The record is from RNAcentral.